UACGUAGGGAGCAAGCGUUGUCCGGAAUCAUUGGGCGUAAAGCGCGCGUAGGUGGCCACAUAAGUCCGUUGUGAAAGUCAAAGGCUCAACCUUUGAAAGCCGAUGGAUACUGUGUGGCUAGAGUACGGAAGAGGCGAGUGGAAUUCCUGGUGUAGCGGUGGAAUGCGCAGAUAUCAGGAGGAACACCAAUAGCGAAGGCAGCUAGCUGGGACGUUACUGACACUGAGGCGCGAAAGCGUGGGGAGCGAACAGG
This 253-nucleotide ribosomal RNA is filed under the name uncultured bacterium. RNAcentral's name for it is "partial 16S ribosomal RNA". It matches the Rfam family "Bacterial small subunit ribosomal RNA", at positions 524 to 776 of the family's 1533-position model. The record is from RNAcentral.